RNAcentral lists this ribosomal RNA (505 nucleotides) under uncultured bacterium. Its description in RNAcentral is "partial 16S ribosomal RNA". It matches the Rfam family "Bacterial small subunit ribosomal RNA", at positions 28 to 507 of the family's 1533-position model. The record is from RNAcentral.
GACGAACGCUGGCGGCGUGCCUAAUACAUGCAAGUAGAACGCACAGUUUAUACCGUAGCUUGCUACACCAUAGACUGUGAGUUGCGAACGGGUGAGUAACGCGUAGGGAACCUGCCUGGUAGCGGGGGAUAACUAUUGGAAACGAUAGCUAAUACCGCAUAAUAUUGAUUAUUGCAUGAUAAUUAAUUGAAAGGUGCAAUUGCACCACUACCAGAUGGACCUGCGUUGUAUUAGCUAGUAGGUGAGGUAACGGCUCACCUAGGCGACGAUACAUAGCCGACCUGGGAGGGUGAUCGGCCACACUGGGACUGAGACACGGCCCAGACUCCUACGGGAGGCAGCAGUAGGGAAUCUUCGGAAAUGGACGAAAGUCUGACCGAGCAACGCCGCGUGAGUGAAGAAGGUUUUCGGAUCGUAAAGCUCUGUUGUAAGAGAAGAACGGGUGUGAGAGUGGAAAGUUCACACUGUGACGGUAUCUUACCAGAAAGGGACGGCUAACUACGUG